Molecule: transfer RNA, 77 nt
Filed under: Pseudomonadales bacterium
Lineage: Bacteria; Pseudomonadati; Pseudomonadota; Gammaproteobacteria; Pseudomonadales
Also listed under: 4 other names
Description: tRNA-Arg
Rfam family: tRNA
About the family: Transfer RNA (tRNA) molecules are approximately 80 nucleotides in length. Their secondary structure includes four short double-helical elements and three loops (D, anti-codon, and T loops). Further hydrogen bonds mediate the characteristic L-shaped molecular structure. tRNAs have two regions of fundamental functional importance: the anti-codon, which is responsible for specific mRNA codon recognition, and the 3' end, to which the tRNAs corresponding amino acid is attached (by aminoacyl-tRNA synthetases). tRNAs cope with the degeneracy of the genetic code in two manners: having more than one tRNA (with a specific anti-codon) for a particular amino acid; and 'wobble' base-pairing, i.e. permitting non-standard base-pairing at the 3rd anti-codon position.
Source: RNAcentral
GCGCCCAUAGCACAACUGGAUAGUGCAACAGCCUUCUAAGCUGUAGGUUCCAGGUUCGAGUCCUGGUGGGCGCGCCA